Molecule: long non-coding RNA, 209 nt
Filed under: Populus tremula
Lineage: Eukaryota; Viridiplantae; Streptophyta; Magnoliopsida; Malpighiales; Salicaceae
Description: long non-coding RNA (PTRE_LNC002699)
Source: RNAcentral
CAUGCAUCAUCUCAUUAGCAACUGUCAUUAAUGCUGAUGAUAAUAGAGGUUUUUUAAUUUAUGCAUUCCAAUUAACUUAUGUUUUACCUUUCCUUUUAUUUUUACGGCUUUUCAAAUCUUCUGCCUGAUUCAUUACUUCACCCUGCAGAAACUUCUUACAUAGAACUAGCAACAUCAACAGUUCUUUUCCCCACCUCAACACUUCGUCC